This 468-nucleotide ribosomal RNA is filed under the name uncultured bacterium. RNAcentral describes it as "partial 16S ribosomal RNA". It matches the Rfam family "Bacterial small subunit ribosomal RNA", at positions 28 to 507 of the family's 1533-position model. The record is from RNAcentral.
GACGAACGCUGGCGGCGUGCUUAACACAUGCAAGUCGAACGGAAAGGCCCUGCUUUUGUUGGGUGCUCGAGUGGCGAACGGGUGAGUAACACGUGAGUAACCUGCCCUUGACUUUUGGAUAACUUCAAGAAACUGGGGCUAAUACCGGAUAGGAGUUCCUGCUGCAUGGUGGGGGUUGGAAAGUUUGGGCGGUUGGGGAUGGACUCGCGGCUUAUCAGUUUGUUGGGGGGGUAGUGGCUUACCAAGGCUUUGACGGGUAGCCGGCCUGAGAGGGUGACCGGCCAAAUUGGGACGGAGAUACGGCCCAGACUCCUACGGGAGGCAGCAGUGGGGAAUAUUGCACAAUGGGCGGAAGCCGGAUGCAGCAACGCCGCGUGCGGGAUGACGGCCUUCGGGUUGUAAACCGCUUCCGCCUGUGACGAAGCGUGAGUGACGGUAAUGGGUAAAGAAGCACCGGCUAACUACGUG